CCUACGGGUGGCAGCAGUGAGGAAUAUUGGUCAAUGGACGAGAGUCUGAACCAGCCAAGUAGCGUGAAGGAUGACGGCCCUAUGGGUGGUAAACUUCUUUUAUAAAGGAAUAAAACGAGGCACGUGUGCCUUUUUGCAUGUACUUUAUGACUAAGGAUCGGCGAACUCCGUGCCAGCAGCCGCGUUAAUACGGAGGAUGCGAGCUUUAUCCGGAUUUAUUGGGUUGAAAGGGAGCGUAGAUGGUUUGUUAAGUCAGUUGUGAAAGUUUGAGGAUCAACCGUAAAAUUGCAAUUGAUACUGGCAGUCUUGAGUACAGUUGAGGUAGGCGGAAUUCGUGGUGUAGCGGUGAAAUGCUUAGAUAUCACGAAGAACCCCGAUUGCGAAGGCAGCUUACUAAACUGUGACUGACAUUGAUGCUCGAAAGUGUGGGUAUCAAACAGGAUUAGAUACCCCAGUAGUC
This 460-nucleotide ribosomal RNA is filed under the name uncultured bacterium. Its description in RNAcentral is "partial 16S ribosomal RNA". It matches the Rfam family "Bacterial small subunit ribosomal RNA", at positions 338 to 795 of the family's 1533-position model. The record is from RNAcentral.